Drosophila ficusphila is the source of this 305-nucleotide long non-coding RNA. RefSeq lists it as uncharacterized. Lineage: Eukaryota; Metazoa; Arthropoda; Insecta; Diptera; Drosophilidae. The record is from RefSeq and is a predicted model, not a curated record. The transcript has 3 exons.
AACAUAAAUAUUUUUGUUUGUAUAUCCUUAUUUCAGCGUUACGGAUAUGGUGAACAUAGGCAUUUUUCCAAAAACUACAUUUUAGCCGCCGGAGGCGUUUGUCAAGUAAGUAUAGUUUGUAAUAGAUUCGACUUCAAUGAUUCUGGCCCUUGUGUUAAUAUUAACGGCAAAUCUGAACAAGCGCAAGCGGACAUUUCGAUUUCGUCAUUUGAAGAACUCGGCCAUUUGGACUCCGACGGCGAAGCCAAUCCAGAAGCAUUUAGUCACUCAGAAACGACAAUUACAGUCUUCCCCAAUAUCAAGAU